GUUUCAGGGCGAGGUGAGAUUCCUCACCGGCGGUAGAGUCCGCGAACUUGCUGGAACCCCAUUCCGCGCAGGCGGGGAGGGGUCAUGCGAGCCGACCAGGUGAAAUUCCUGGACCGACGGUAAUAGUCCGGAUGGGAGAAA
Molecule: non-coding RNA, 141 nt
Filed under: human gut metagenome
Description: FMN riboswitch (RFN element)
Rfam family: FMN riboswitch aptamer (RFN element)
About the family: The RFN element is a highly conserved domain that is found frequently in the 5'-untranslated regions of prokaryotic mRNAs that encode for flavin mononucleotide (FMN) biosynthesis and transport proteins. This element is a metabolite-dependent riboswitch that directly binds FMN in the absence of proteins.
Source: RNAcentral